GUGGGGCAUAUGACGAAUAUAAGUGUUGUAAUGGGUAAUUUGCGUCUGAGAUUUACAGUGAUGCCAUUUCAUCUUAAAGAACUGAUGCCCCCC
This is a small nucleolar RNA of Juglans microcarpa x Juglans regia, 93 nucleotides long. The record is from RefSeq and is a predicted model, not a curated record. NCBI's taxonomy places the organism in Eukaryota, Viridiplantae, Streptophyta, Magnoliopsida, Fagales, Juglandaceae.